CGCCUGGGAGGUCUUUGUAUUGCUUUGUAUGGAAACCCCGUGCUGGGGUUUGUGUACAAAUUGAGAGUGCCUUGCCUUGAAUAAACCAAAUUACUCCCAGCAUUACCUCUCGGAUAAUGUCUGGGGGAAAGAGCUAUGUCACUUCACUUUGAUUUAAUCACUAAAGACGGCGCUGACGGGGAUUCUAGAAAGGGGAAAGGACAUCCUUGGCGGCAAGACUCGUGUCCCUACACGAGUGGCCACCACAUCUGGUGGCAGUGGUGGGAUGGUCCAUUUCCAUCCUGUAAGUUCAUUGUCUCGUUGGGGAGGGAGACUGACAACCUCCACUGCUGGCAACCCAAGACCAACUGUCUUCACUCACAGUAACUCUGCCGGUUGCUGAGGAGGUAGUUGAGUGGCCAGGCUGCCCAGGAUCCAAGGAUUACACU
Molecule: non-coding RNA, 428 nt
Organism: Pelobates cultripes (western spadefoot toad)
Lineage: Eukaryota; Metazoa; Chordata; Amphibia; Anura; Pelobatidae
Source: the annotation of a GenBank genome assembly